Schizosaccharomyces pombe (fission yeast) is the source of this 555-nucleotide non-coding RNA. Lineage: Eukaryota; Fungi; Ascomycota; Schizosaccharomycetes; Schizosaccharomycetales; Schizosaccharomycetaceae. The record is from the annotation of a GenBank genome assembly.
GGAAAGUAUAUCAUCCUCAUUAGUGCAUGUCGAAUUGCAAUAAAGCUUGAUCGUAUAAACCUCAUUUACAAAACUGAUUAAGACAUUUGAUUCUUAGUUGUUUACAGUGGUUUAAUAUCUUUCUAUUUGAUGCCGCUUAAUAAAAACAAUUGGUAUAACUUUAAAAGUUGUUAGGGAAUAUUGAAACAGUUUACUUUAAAACUUAUAAGCAAUGACUGAAACAUGCUUAAAUGCCGGGCUUAGUAUCAAAGAUAGCCUUAUGAUUUAUUUGUUUGAUAGCUUGAACCCAGAUAUUGUGAAUUUUCUUGCUUUUCGCUUUUAAGACGAUGGGCUUAUCAGUUGUCUGCAUCACAAUAACUUCAUUAUGUAAAUUGGCGUUCUUUAAGGCAUCUGGGGCUUUUAUAAUAGUCAUUCCCUUAAUUUUCACAGACUUGACUUGAUUUUUCCUUCCUUUUUCAAUAAAUGGAUUUGUUUUAGACCAGCACAGCAUUUCACAAUGCGGGUUAAUCCAAAAAUAGCGCCAAUGACUCUUUUUAAACAUUUUGAAACUCUCAC